GAUGAACGCUGGCGGCGUGCCUAAUACAUGCAAGUCGAGCGAACAGAUAAGGAGCUUGCUCCUUUGACGUUAGCGGCGGACGGGUGAGUAACACGAGGGUAAUCUACCUAUAAGACUGGGAUAACUUCGGGAAACCGGAGCUAAUACCGGAUAACAUUUGGAACCGCAUGGUUCUAAAGUGAAAGAUGGUUUUGCUAUCACUUAUAGAUGGACCCGCGCCGUAUUAGCUAGUUGGUAAGGUAACGGCUUACCAAGGCAACGAUACGUAGCCGACCUGAGAGGGUGAUCGGCCACACUGGAACUGAGACACGGUCCAGACUCCUACGGGAGGCAGCAGUAGGGAAUCUUCCGCAAUGGGCGAAAGCCUGACGGAGCAACGCCGCGUGAGUGAUGAAGGGUUUCGGCUCGUAAAACUCUGUUAUUAGGGAAGAACAAACGUGUAAGUAACUGUGCACGUCUUGACGGUACCUAAUCAGAAAGCCACGGCUAACUACGUG
Molecule: ribosomal RNA, 497 nt
Filed under: uncultured bacterium
Lineage: Bacteria
Description: partial 16S ribosomal RNA
Rfam family: Bacterial small subunit ribosomal RNA
Source: RNAcentral